Molecule: long non-coding RNA, 1685 nt
Organism: Daucus carota subsp. sativus
Lineage: Eukaryota; Viridiplantae; Streptophyta; Magnoliopsida; Apiales; Apiaceae
Exons: 8
Source: RefSeq, a predicted model, not a curated record
UUUGUGUAUCUUCAGUAUUUUGCCACUCUGUACAGCCUCAUUAUACGGUAUAUACACGUGCCUACCGCUCAGCCACACAAUCUCUCAUCUAUACAGCUCUUCUCCGCUUAGCACUACGGUUUCAAAAUUCAAAACACUAUGCCCUAACCUCAACCGCGUGAGCUACGAUUAUCUCCUUUCUCGGCUUCUCCAAGAUAACUAGGGUUUUCAAAUUUGAAAACAUUCGGUCUAAACUCUCCCGAGCUUCAUCUCCCCUCCGUCGUUUCGCCCUUUCAUAUCAUACUAAUCAUCUUCUCUGACAUUUGGUUCUUGAUUUUAUUCAAAUUUGAAUCUCGCUGUGUGUAUAUGUAUCCAUCUCUCCUUCUUACUCUCAUAUAUUCGUCUAUCUCAUAUUUUAAUAUAUAGCCAUUGAUGAUUGAUUGUUCGUUCUUGCAGAAGCUUGAUUCGAGAGUAUUUAGAGGAGUAUAGAUUUAUGAUUUGAAGCGCAGCUGGUAAAUCAAUUGUCCGAUUAGAUCUCUCUCGCCGGAGUUGAUGAGACGGGAAGGUGUUCUUUUACGCGGUUUGGAUUCAAGGCUGUCUAAGGAUCUCCCUUCUGAUCUUCAAAAACUUCGAUGCAAGGUUGCCUUUCAAGCCCUGAAAUUUGCUCCACCAAUCUUGGAUCUCGGUAAUAAACUCACGGCGAGGAUACAGAGCAAAGGGCCAUAUCUUGCACUUCAUUUGCGUAUGGAUAGGACGUGGAAGUGUGCAUAUAGACUACAGUUUCGUUAUUUUGCAGUAUCUGACUUAUAAUCUGGAAAUUGAGUUGCAGCAGCGAGGGGCAAGCAUCCGGGAAAAGUACAUUUGCGAGAAGGUUUUCGAUCUCCUCAAAGUUUGUAUAUAAUUUCCUUCAGUAGAAACUACGUACAUAAUAUCUGAUUCGUUUUUGGUAAUUCUUCUGGGAUGCAAGAGCUGCUGCUAUAAUUUUUAUUAGUUGUAAUUUAUUUUGAGACUACUGUUGCUGAGUAUUGUACUACUGUUGCAGAGCUUUUUCGAGAAGCUGUUACUUUUCCCCAAAUGCAUCCUAAUUCAGUUUCAAUUUAUAAUUCAAAUUCUCAAUUCUCAACAAGGGGAUUUACACUUGGUUGAAAUAUGUACUUGGUAUGGCGUUUAGAAGAGACAACGAGCCUUUCAAGCUUUUGCUGAGGCUGGCAUUGUUGUAAGUAAGCUGUCUGUGGAUGAUUCCAGUUGGCAAAAAGGUGCAAAUUUUUUCCCAGAUAGAUUUAUAUCUCGCCAGGAUCUCAUAAGUUGGAAAGCCAAGCUAGAUUAUGAAGUCAUGCCAGGAUUAAAUAUAUUAUUGUUUGAGCCAUUUAGAUCAGUAAAAGAGGCGGUGGCAUUGUUCGGGGAGAGAGUUCUGGCAGGGGAUGUUUAUCAUGCAAACAGGCUUCAACAGGUACGAAGUUUUCUGCGUUACGAAGACACGGGCACUUUAAUGGUUACAAAAAGCUUUGGAAGCUGAUUGUAUCAGUUUCUGGAUGAGAAGUACUUGACAAUAUUGAAUAGUCGAAGCAAUCAAACAACAAAGUGGAAGUAAGAUACAGUGAUUUGGCCGUUCAACACCUGAAAGUGCAAGUUAUUGAGAAGCCUCAAGCUAUUAUACCAGUAGAAAAUUACAAAGGCAGAACUAAAGAGGGCAUCAAUCAGCAGUC